AAAGUAGAGAGGAGACAUUGCAGGAACUGGCAGCAGAGGAGGAUUAUAAAGUAGUGAAGAAAAUAUCUGGUGAUCCAUUAACAUUCAGCAGUAGUCUUCACAGGACAUCACCCAUCACAGCGCCUCCACCUCACUGCCUGACAACCGAGGUAACCAGUGGCAAAAAGAUUCUAGAAGUCACCAAGAAGAUCAUUGAUCUGCUGACAGGAGAGGUUCCUAUAAGGUGUCAGGAUGUCACUGUCUA
Molecule: long non-coding RNA, 244 nt
Organism: Rana temporaria (common frog)
Lineage: Eukaryota; Metazoa; Chordata; Amphibia; Anura; Ranidae
Exons: 3
Source: RefSeq, a predicted model, not a curated record